AGUGAACGCUGGCGGUAGGCCUAACACAUGCAAGUCGAACGGCAGCACAGUAAGAGCUUGCUCUUACGGGUGGCGAGUGGCGGACGGGUGAGGAAUACAUCGGAAUCUACUUUUUCGUGGGGGAUAACGUAGGGAAACUUGCGCUAAUACCGCAUACGACCUACGGGUGAAAGCAGGGGAUCUUCGGACCUUGGGCGAUUGAAUGAGCCGAUGUCGGAUUAGCUAGUUGGCGGGGUAAAGGCCCACCAAGGCGAGGAUCCGUAGCUGGUCUGAGAGGAUGAUCAGCCACAAUGGAACUGAGACACGGUCCAGACUCCUACGGGAGGCAGCAGUGGGGAAUAUUGGACAAUGGGCGCAAGCCUGAUCCAGCCAUACCGCGUGGGUGAAGAAGGCCUUCGGGUUGUAAAGCCCUUUUGUUGGGAAAGAAAAGCAGCAGGUUAAUACCCCGCUGUUCUGACGGUACCCAAAGAAUAAGCACCGGCUAACUUCGUG
RNAcentral lists this ribosomal RNA (492 nucleotides) under uncultured bacterium. Its description in RNAcentral is "partial 16S ribosomal RNA". It matches the Rfam family "Bacterial small subunit ribosomal RNA", at positions 29 to 507 of the family's 1533-position model. The record is from RNAcentral.